UGGGGAAUAUUGGACAAUGGGGGCAACCCUGAUCCAGCAAUGCCGCGUGUGUGAAGAAGGCCUUAGGGUUGUAAAGCACUUUAGGCUGCGAGGAAGGUAUGUAGUUUAAGAGAUGACAUGCUUGACUGUAGCAGCAGAAUAAGCACCGGCUAACUCUGUGCCAGCAGCCGCGGUAAUACAGAGGGUGCAAGCGUUAAUCGGAGUUACUGGGCGUAAAGGGCGCGUAGGCGGUUGAUUAAGUGAGAUGUGAAAUCCCUGGGCUUAACCUAGGAACUGCAUUUUAUACUGAUUGACUAGAGUAUUGUAGAGGGUAGUGGAAUUUCCGGUGUAGCGGUGAAAUGCGUAGAGAUCGGAAGGAACACCAGUGGCGAAGGCGGCUACCUGGACAAAUACUGACGCUGAGGCGCGAGAGCGUGGGGAGCAAACAGGAUUAGAUACCCCCGUAGUCC
Molecule: ribosomal RNA, 449 nt
Filed under: uncultured bacterium
Lineage: Bacteria
Description: bacterial SSU rRNA
Rfam family: Bacterial small subunit ribosomal RNA
Source: RNAcentral